Phacochoerus africanus (Common warthog) is the source of this 548-nucleotide non-coding RNA. The record is from the annotation of a RefSeq genome assembly. Lineage: Eukaryota; Metazoa; Chordata; Mammalia; Artiodactyla; Suidae.
CUCGGAGCCUCAGGAUGCCCGCAACGUGAGGGUAACGGGGCGGGGCCAUCACGGGAUCAUCCUCCAAUCAGGGAGAGCGAAGCUGAAACUCAGCUCUGACCCAGCAGGACCAGAACCUGAGCAAGACCGCGGUGUCUGCCUCGCGUGCCAUGGGUUCCAGGUCCCUUCCCUGGGCCGUACUUUGUCUCCUGGGAGCAGGCCCCUUGGCGGCUGGAGUCACUCAAACUCCAAGACACGUGAUCAAAUCAACAGGACAGACAGUGACACUGAGAUGUUCCCCUGUCUCUGGGCACCGCAGUGUGUCUUGGUACCAACAGGCCCUGAAUCAGGGCCCCCAGUUCCUCUUUGAGUUUUAUGACCAAAUGCCAAGAGCCAAAGGAAACGUCUCAGAUCGAUUCUCAGUACAACAGUCCAGUAACUCUCUCUCUGAGCUGACCCUGAGCUUCUCAGAGCUGACAGACUCCGCCCUGUACCUCUGUGCCAGCAGCCUGGCACAGCCCUGCGGAGUCACCAACCUUCUGUGCACAAACCUCCCUGCCUCUGCUUGA